Molecule: ribosomal RNA, 253 nt
Filed under: uncultured bacterium
Lineage: Bacteria
Description: partial 16S ribosomal RNA
Rfam family: Bacterial small subunit ribosomal RNA
Source: RNAcentral
UACGUAGGGUGCGAGCGGUAAUCGGAAUUACUGGGCGUAAAGCGUGAGCAGGCGGUCUGCUAAGACAGGUGUGAAAUCCCUGGGCUCAACCUAGGAAUUGCGCUUGUGACUGGCAGGCUAGAGUACGGUAGAGGGGGGUGGAAUUCCUGGUGUAGCAGUGAAAUGCGUAGAGAUCAGGAGGAACACCGAUGGCGAAGGCAGCCCCCUGGGCCUGUACUGACGCUCAGGCACGAAAGCGUGGGGAGCAAACAGG